Molecule: ribosomal RNA, 273 nt
Filed under: uncultured Streptococcus sp.
Lineage: Bacteria; Bacillati; Bacillota; Bacilli; Lactobacillales; Streptococcaceae
Description: partial 16S ribosomal RNA
Rfam family: Bacterial small subunit ribosomal RNA
Source: RNAcentral
UUGUUAGUUGCCAUCAUUCAGUUGGGCACUCUAGCGAGACUGCCGGUAAUAAACCGGAGGAAGGUGGGGAUGACGUCAAAUCAUCAUGCCCCUUAUGACCUGGGCUACACACGUGCUACAAUGGUUGGUACAACGAGUUGCGAGUCGGUGACGGCGAGCUAAUCUCUUAAAGCCAAUCUCAGUUCGGAUUGUAGGCUGCAACUCGCCUACAUGAAGCCGGAAUCGCUAGUAAUCGCGGAUCAGCAUGCCGCGGUGAAUACGUUCCCGGGCCUU